Molecule: long non-coding RNA, 2603 nt
Organism: Suricata suricatta (meerkat)
Lineage: Eukaryota; Metazoa; Chordata; Mammalia; Carnivora; Herpestidae
Exons: 3
Source: RefSeq, a predicted model, not a curated record
GGGAGACCGAGGGGGGUCAAGCGCGCAAAGCUCUGUCCGUUCCUGGAAGGCGAUUUCCCCCCCACACGCGGGGUGCCAACACCCGCCCUAGACCCAACAUCCCCUCCCUACCGAACCGCGUAAAGCAGCCCCAGCAUCUCUCCCUCCUUCCGGCCUCUCCCUCAAUUCCCUGCCGCCACUCCGACCGCGCCCCCGAACGCAGCCGGGUAGCUCCUCCUCCGGUCGUGUCUCUGCGGCCAACCCGCCCUCCCAGCCGCUGGCGCCAAGGUCUUCUCAACCCGCCAGCGGAAGGAUGCCGGGCCGGGCCUCCCAGGCUCCUCCCGGGCCUACCUGCUAGGCGGGCGGGGGCUCCGUCUGCAGCCCAGCGACGGGACUCAACCACCGACAAGAAGAAGCAGGAAGGAAGCAAGGGGUCCGCUCUACCGACCAGCGGAAGAAAGCAGCCUGAGCGCGGGGCCUCGCGGAUAAGUCAGCCUUAGACCCGGCGCCGCCGCCGCUCAGAAGACAUCAAGCAAGAAGACGGCGCAAAAGAUCACCGAAUACACGAACGGCCCAGACAUCAUAGGGAGAGCGCGCAAGCAGUCGUUCAAGGAAAUGCAGCCGAGCGCCGAAAACUGCUCUUCUCCAACCCUAGGUCUGACUCCGGUCCAAGACAUGAAUAAACAAACCCAGAUCAUAAGUGGCGGAGUAAAGUAGCCGGUGCUUCUGCCAUUUUCUGUGUUGGUUGCCAGCUAAGUUGUUUAGAACACAGGAGUUUUUCUUGAUUGUUGAGGAUCAAGUCAUAGCAAAAUAACACUUACCAGUUCAGCGACUACGUUAUGGACUCCCAACAUUAUCCCAAGUGAGCAAGUGUGACUCUUAAUUUCCUCAUGGACAGUGAGGGACAGCGACUGCUAAGUUCAGUCCAAGGAUUGUUUUAUCAUUUCCGAAUUUGAAACUGGCAAACUAGUGUUGACCCAAUACUGUGGUUUUCUCUUAAUAUAUCCUGGGACUUUGCUGUCUUGAAACAUCUAAGGGCAAAUCUGGAAAACUCCUAUGCUGACCAGAUGGCAUCAUCUACGGGAAGAUGAAGCUUACAUAAGACAGGCAUAAUCCUUGACUCUUUCCCAAAACUGUACCAGGAAAAUACUAAAAAACCGCAAUAAGGACUUCAAGAGAAGACUUCUCAGGCACUUAUGAUAAGUCCCUAUGAACAAAUCCUUGGCAAUCGAAGUAUAGACCCUGAUCCCACCCCUAGAUCAUUUUAGGGAAAUUGUAACAAAGGACUGAAAAAAAUCCUGGCCUGUAAACAUUCAGGUUGAAAGACUGAAGAAAUAGAUCCGAACAGUUACUCUGUGGAAUUAUUAGGAAAUAAAAUGCUCCCAGGAAAAAGCACUGCUAGCCAAUAUUCAGUCAGUUCAGCACUUAGAAAUUAUCUUUGGUGUGCAAGUAAUAGACUUAAAAUUGCUUUUGAAAUCUCUCCAAGACUGUCCCUCCCACUCAGGCUUCAUGUUACCAUCUAGUGAGUUAAGUGGGGAACCACCCCAAUUUUCCUCUAAUGUAGUUUUUUUAGGCUAAAAUCCCAGAUACUUUCUAAGUUCACAUUCCACUUUGCCACUUACAAUAUGUAGAUGGCAGUAACCCUUUUCUCAUGCAAUAUGCACAACAGAACAAAAACCCUGUAGGGAAAAAUACCCAUCUCAGGACACUUGGAAAGAUCGUGAGAGUUAAAAUAUUGCCUCAUGAGGAGGACAAAGACAGCUUGGUCACAGGUUAGAUUUUACAAAGGAAGAAUAUGUAACGGGACCCCUCUACUGCACAAUGAGUAGACCUAACGUUCCCAGGCACCUCUUUGUGGUCCCUUCUUGUCUCAAUGACAUCAUUGUACACAUCAAGCUCAAGCUCCUGCCACAUGGACCCACUCUUUUUAGAGUAGACCGAUGAUGGGAAAUAGCAUCUGGAGUAGAAAUAAACAGCAGAUAAUAAUCCAUAAUUGUUUUUAAUCUUGGGGAUGAGUCACCCUCAAUUUAUUUCCAAAUUUCUUCUGUCAUCAGCUGUUCAUUUUUUUACUUUGAAAAUCACCAGAUUAACACUGCCAAAGGCAGGUAGGAAACGAUCCAAGAGGACCAUUCUGAGGUAUCACAUGGUGAGUUGAUGAGAAACUGGGAGCGAGACAAUCCUCAGGAAAGUCUCUUUUUUGUCUCAGCAGAGGCACCAAUGUGUGAACCUAAUUCACACUUUCAUUAUUCCAAUCAGGUUGUUUUUUUAUGAGUAUAAUUUUAGAAUAAGACUUGGUGGGGGAUUAUUUCCUAGGAAAUUCUGUUCAUGAUUUUGCAGGAAAUCCAAAUAGGUCUAAUGCCAAAAUUUAUUUCACCCCAAGAAACUAUGUUGGUUUUAUUUCAUAUGCCUUUUCGUUUUUUACUACUUUCAUAUGCCUUUUUAUUGUCAAAGUCUUCCUUCUAUACAAGGAAUUUCAAAGCAGAAUGGCCAAACAGACAUUCUCACAUUAAGAGCAUAAGAAAUGUGAUCUAUUUAGAUGUGAGCUGUCAAAACCUGGAUAAAUCUCCUCUGUCCAUCAGCCUAUCAAGGUCUUUAGAUCUAUAAAGUGUAAACUUGCUAUUUUA